RNAcentral lists this ribosomal RNA (119 nucleotides) under Smittium mucronatum. The record is from RNAcentral. Lineage: Eukaryota; Fungi; Kickxellomycota; Harpellomycetes; Harpellales; Legeriomycetaceae.
UCUCUCGGUCAUUCACACUAGAAAGCACCAAACCCCUUCCGAUCUUUGAUUAUGGGCUGGUGAUGGCGCCGUCAGUACUGUGGUGGGGGACAAAGUGGGAAUACGACAUACCUUAGGUC